CACCGUAGUAGAAGCCGGAAGUCCCUGCUAAGCUAACAUCAACAAAAACAAUAAACCAGCGCCAAAGUGUAAAAAAAAUGAGUGUUACUGAGUUGGGAAAUGACGGAGAGCAGCCGAAGCUUACAAGUAACGAAUCCCGCUGCAUAUUCUUUAACACAGACUCAGAGGACUACCAUUGUGUGGUGAUCUUAGCAGUCAGACGAGCAACGGGAACCUUUUCUUUGAUAGGAUGCUUGUUCAUGCUGUUUGUGAUCUGGCUGCUGCGGAGGUAUCACUCUUUGGCCCAGAAGAUGAUACUCAGUUUGACUGUGGCUGCCCUCUUUGACAGUGUAGCAUAUGUCAUGGGGGAAUCUCAUCCACAGGGAUCUCUGUGUAGCUUUCAAGCCUGGUGGCUGACAUACUUUGACUGGAGUGCCUUGGUUUGGGUUUGCCUGAUCACACUGAACCUGUACCUGAACCUGGUUAGAGAGAUAAGCACCAUUAGAUAUGAGAUGUUGUACCAUCUGAUGGCGUGGGGUGUGCCUUUGGUCAUGGCCUCUUUGCCGCUGCUCAAGGGUUAUUACGGCCCUGCAGGACCCUGGUGCUGGAUCACAGCCGAUCACGUAGCCUGGAGAUUUGGGAUAUGGUACGUGCCUCUUUUCAGCCUCAUUAUCCUGAUGAUGUGCUGCUAUGGCAGGAUCAUCUGUGUGGCCAAUCAGCGGAUACAGUCGUGGUUGGGAACCUUCAACCCCGAACGGGAGAGACGAAAGACGUGAACGAUGAGAUACGUCAUGUUCGCCCCCUGUCCAAGCAGAGCCUUCCCAACCCCCAGACCUAAAGUGGAAUUAACUAAAGCCGAAUAAACUGGUUGUCUAUGUAAACCUCA
Molecule: long non-coding RNA, 865 nt
Filed under: Gouania willdenowi (blunt-snouted clingfish)
Lineage: Eukaryota; Metazoa; Chordata; Actinopteri; Blenniiformes; Gobiesocidae
Description: lncRNA (ENSGWIG00000011845.1)
Source: RNAcentral